Molecule: ribosomal RNA, 371 nt
Filed under: uncultured bacterium
Lineage: Bacteria
Description: bacterial SSU rRNA
Rfam family: Bacterial small subunit ribosomal RNA
Source: RNAcentral
AGAGGGUGCAAACGUUGUUCGGAAUUACUGGGCGUAAAGCGUGUGUAGGCGGUUUCAUAAGUCGGGCGUGAAAGCCCCGGGCUCAACCCGGGAAGUGCACUCGAUACUGUGGAACUUGAGUUUCGGAGAGGUUGGUAGAAUUCUUGGUGUAGAGGUGAAAUUCGUAGAUAUCAAGAGGAAUACCGGUGGCGAAGGCGGCCAACUGGACGAAAACUGACGCUGAGACACGAAAGCAUGGGGAGCAAACAGGAUUAGAUACCCUGGUAGUCCAUGCCGUAAACGAUGGGUGCUGGGGUUCACGGGCAUUGACUCUCGUGGGCCCGUAGCUAACGCGUUAAGCACCCCGCCUGGGGAGUACGGCCGCAAGGCUA